RNAcentral lists this ribosomal RNA (525 nucleotides) under uncultured bacterium. RNAcentral describes it as "bacterial SSU rRNA". It matches the Rfam family "Bacterial small subunit ribosomal RNA", at positions 984 to 1509 of the family's 1533-position model. The record is from RNAcentral.
ACAUCCAGAGAACUUAGCAGAGAUGCUUUGGUGCCUUCGGGAACUCUGAGACAGGUGCUGCAUGGCUGUCGUCAGCUCGUGUUGUGAAAUGUUGGGUUAAGUCCCGNAACGAGCGCAACCCUUAUCCUUUGUUGCCAGCGGUCCGGCCGGGAACUCAAAGGAGACUGCCAGUGAUAAACUGGAGGAAGGUGGGGAUGACGUCAAGUCAUCAUGGCCCUUACGAGUAGGGCUACACACGUGCUACAAUGGCGCAUACAAAGAGAAGCGACCUCGCGAGAGCAAGCGGACCUCAUAAAGUGCGUCGUAGUCCGGAUUGGAGUCUGCAACUCGACUCCAUGAAGUCGGAAUCGCUAGUAAUCGUAGAUCGGAAUGCUACGGUGAAUACGUUCCCGGGCCUUGUACACACCGCCCGUCACACCAUGGGAGUGGGUUGCAAAAGAAGUAGGUAGCUUAACCUUCGGGAGGGCGCUUACCACUUUGUGAUUCAUGACUGGGGUGAAGUCGUAACAAGGUAGGCGUACGUGU